AGAGCGAACGCUGGCGGCAGGCUUAACACAUGCAAGUCGAACGCGUGUAGCAAUACACGAGUGGCGCACGGGUGAGUAACGCGUGGGCAUCUGCCUCAUGGUUCGGAAUAACCCCGGGAACUGGGGCUAAUACCGGAUGGUACCUUCGGGUUAAAGAUUUAUCGCCAUGAGAUGAGCCCGCGUCCGAUUAGCUAGUUGGUGAGGUAACGGCUCACCAAGGCGACGAUCGGUAGCUGGUCUGAGAGGACGAUCAGCCACACUGGGACUGAGACACGGCCCAGACUCCUACGGGAGGCAGCAGUGGGGAAUAUUGGACAAUGGGGGCAACCCUGAUCCAGCCAUGCCGCGUGAGUGAUGAAGGCCUUCGGGUUGUAAAGCUCUUUUAGCGGGGUACGAUGAUGACGGUACCCGCAGAAUAAGCCCGGCUAACUUCGUGCCAGCAGCCGC
Molecule: ribosomal RNA, 447 nt
Filed under: uncultured bacterium
Lineage: Bacteria
Description: SSU rRNA
Rfam family: Bacterial small subunit ribosomal RNA
Source: RNAcentral